AUUCUUAUAGCUUAUAGAGAGUAUUGCAUUGAAGAUGCUAUGGAGAUAAAAAAAUCUAAGAAU
Molecule: transfer RNA, 63 nt
Filed under: Tachypleus tridentatus (Chinese horseshoe crab)
Lineage: Eukaryota; Metazoa; Arthropoda; Merostomata; Xiphosura; Limulidae
Description: tRNA-Phe
Source: RNAcentral